Myotis davidii is the source of this 73-nucleotide non-coding RNA. The record is from Rfam. Lineage: Eukaryota; Metazoa; Chordata; Mammalia; Chiroptera; Vespertilionidae.
GCCAGUGUGGCUCAGUGGGGAGAGCGUCAGCCUGCGGACUGAAGGGUCCCGGGUUCGAUUCCAGUCAAGGGCA